Ictidomys tridecemlineatus (thirteen-lined ground squirrel) is the source of this 168-nucleotide small nuclear RNA. Its record names the gene U2. It matches the Rfam family "U2 spliceosomal RNA". From Rfam's summary of the family: U2 is a small nuclear RNA (snRNA) component of the spliceosome (involved in pre-mRNA splicing). Complementary binding between U2 snRNA (in an area lying towards the 5' end but 3' to hairpin I) and the branchpoint sequence (BPS) of the intron results the bulging out of an unpaired adenosine, on the BPS, which initiates a nucleophilic attack at the intronic 5' splice site, thus starting the first of two transesterification reactions that mediate splicing. The record is from Ensembl. NCBI's taxonomy places the organism in Eukaryota, Metazoa, Chordata, Mammalia, Rodentia, Sciuridae.
AUCACUUCUUGGCCUUUUGGCUGAGAUCAAGUGUAGUGUCUUUUCUUAUCAGUUUAAUAACUGCAUGAAGCUGCAAAGGACCCAGAGUAGGCCAAACAGUUUUAACAACAAAACAAACAGAAACAAAGUUGGAGGAUCACACUUUCUCAUUACAAAACUUCACACGUA